Molecule: ribosomal RNA, 429 nt
Filed under: uncultured bacterium
Lineage: Bacteria
Description: bacterial SSU rRNA
Rfam family: Bacterial small subunit ribosomal RNA
Source: RNAcentral
UGGGGAAUUUUGGACAAUGGACGCAAGUCUGAUCCAGCAAUGCCGCGUGCAGGACGAAGGCCUUCGGGUUGUAAACUGCUUUUGUACAGAACGAAAGGGCUCUGGUUAAUACCUGGGGCAGAUGACGGUACUGUAAGAAUAAGCACCGGCUAACUACGUGCCAGCAGCCGCGGUAAUACGUAGGGUGCGAGCGUUAAUCGGAAUUACUGGGCGUAAAGCGUGCGCAGGCGGUUUUGUAAGACCGAUGUGAAAUCCCCGGGCUCAACCUGGGAACUGCAUUGGUGACUGCAAGGCUGGAGUGCGGCAGAGGGGGAUGGAAUUCCGCGUGUAGCAGUGAAAUGCGUAGAUAUGCGGAGGAACACCGAUGGCGAAGGCAAUCCCCUGGGCCUGCACUGACGCUCAUGCACGAAAGCGUGGGGAGCAAACAGG